Molecule: transfer RNA, 86 nt
Filed under: Erysipelotrichia bacterium
Lineage: Bacteria; Bacillati; Bacillota; Erysipelotrichia
Description: tRNA-Leu
Rfam family: tRNA
About the family: Transfer RNA (tRNA) molecules are approximately 80 nucleotides in length. Their secondary structure includes four short double-helical elements and three loops (D, anti-codon, and T loops).
Source: RNAcentral
GCCCGAGUGGUGGAAUGGCAGACACGCUUGACUCAAAAUCAAGUGUUCGUGAGGACGUACGGGUUCAAGUCCCGUCUUGGGCACCA